AUAACAGUUAGAAAUGACUGCUAAUACCGCAUAAGACCACAGCACCGCAUGGUGCAGGGGUAAAAACUCCGGUGGUAUGAGAUGGACCCGCGUCUGAUUAGGUAGUUGGUGGGGUAACGGCCUACCAAGCCAACGAUCAGUAGCCGACCUGAGAGGGUGACCGGCCACAUUGGGACUGAGACACGGCCCAAACUCCUACGGGAGGCAGCAGUGGGGAAUAUUGCACAAUGGGGGAAACCCUGAUGCAGCGACGCCGCGUGAGCGAUGAAGUAUUUCGGUAUGUAAAGCUCUAUCAGCAGGGAAGAAAAUGACGGUACCUGACUAAGAAGCACCGGCUAAAUACGUGCCAGCAGCCGCGGUAAUACGUAUGGUGCAAGCGUUAUCCGGAUUUACUGGGUGUAAAGGGAGCGUAGACGGAGUGGCAAGUCUGAUGUGAAAACCCGGGGCUCAACCCCGGGACUGCAUUGGAAACUGUCAAUCUAGAGUACCGGAGAGGUAAGCGGAAUUCCUAGUGUGGCGGUGAAAUGCGUAGAUAUUAGGAGGAACACCAGUGGCGAAGGCGGCUUACUGGACGGUAACUGACGUUGAGGCUCGAAAGCGUGGGGAGCAAACAGGAUUAGAUACCCUGGUAGUCCACGCCGUAAACGAUGACUACUAGGUGUCGGGCAGCAAAGCUGUUCGGUGCCG
This 687-nucleotide ribosomal RNA is filed under the name uncultured bacterium. Its description in RNAcentral is "bacterial SSU rRNA". It matches the Rfam family "Bacterial small subunit ribosomal RNA", at positions 143 to 848 of the family's 1533-position model. The record is from RNAcentral.